GAUGAACGCUAGCUACAGGCUUAACACAUGCAAGUCGAGGGGAAACGACAUCGAAAGCUUGCUUUUGAUGGGCGUCGACCGGCGCACGGGUGAGUAACGCGUAUCCAACCUGCCCACCACCUGGGGAUAACCUUGCGAAAGUAAGACUAAUACCCAAUGACGUCUCUAGAAGACAUCUGACAGAGAUUAAAGAUUUAUCGGCGAUGGAUGGGGAUGCGUCUGAUUAGCUUGUGGGCGGGGUAACGGCCCACCAAGGCGACGAUCAGUAGGGGUUCUGAGAGGAAGGUCCCCCACAUUGGAACUGAGACACGGUCCAAACUCCUACGGGAGGCAGCAGUGAGGAAUAUUGGUCAAUGGGCGAGAGCCUGAACCAGCCAAGUAGCGUGCAGGAUGACGGCCCUAUGGGUUGUAAACUGCUUUUAUAAGGGAAUAAAGUGAGUCUCGUGAGACUUUUUGCAUGUACCUUAUGAAUAAGGACCGGCUAAUUCCGUGCCAGCAGCCGCCGUAA
Molecule: ribosomal RNA, 508 nt
Filed under: uncultured bacterium
Lineage: Bacteria
Description: partial 16S ribosomal RNA
Rfam family: Bacterial small subunit ribosomal RNA
Source: RNAcentral